AUCAACGCUGGCGGCGUGCCUAACACAUGCAAGUCGCACGAGAAAGUGGAGCAAUCCAUGAGUACAGUGGCGCACGGGUGAGUAACACGUGAAUCAUCUACCUCCGAGUGGGGAAUAACCUAGAGAAAUCUGGGCUAAUACCGCAUAACACUUACGAGUCAAAGCAGCAAUGCGCUUGGAGAGGAGUUCGCGGCCGAUUAGCUAGUUGGCGGGGUAAUGGCCCACCAAGGCGAUGAUCGGUAUCCGGCCUGAGAGGGCGCACGGACACACUGGAACUGAAACACGGUCCAGACUCCUACGGGAGGCAGCAGUGGGGAAUUUUGCGCAAUGGGGGAAACCCUGACGCAGCAACGCCGCGUGGAGGAUGAAAUCCCUUGGGAUGUAAACUCCUUUCGAUGGGGAAGAUAAUGACGGUACCCAUAGAAG
This 426-nucleotide ribosomal RNA is filed under the name uncultured bacterium. RNAcentral describes it as "bacterial SSU rRNA". It matches the Rfam family "Bacterial small subunit ribosomal RNA", at positions 32 to 487 of the family's 1533-position model. The record is from RNAcentral.